GAUGAACGCUGGCGGCGUGCCUAAUACAUGCAAGUCGAGCGAACGGACGAGAAGCUUGCUUCUCUGAUGCUAGCGGCGGACGGGUGAGUAACACGUGGAUAACCUACCUAUAAGACUGGGAUAACUUCGGGAAACCGGAGCUAAUACCGGAUAAUAUUUUGAACCGCAUGGUUCAAAAGUGAAAGACGGUCUUGCUGUCACUUAUAGAUGGAUCCGCGCUGCAUUAGCUAGUUGGUAAGGUAACGGCUUACCAAGGCAACGAUGCAUAGCCGACCUGAGAGGGUGAUCGGCCACACUGGAACUGAGACACGGUCCAGACUCCUACGGGAGGCAGCAGUAGGGAAUCUUCCGCAAUGGGCGAAAGCCUGACGGAGCAACGCCGCGUGAGUGAUGAAGGUCUUCGGAUCGUAAAACUCUGUUAUUAGGGAAGAACAUAUGUGUAAGUAACUGUGCACAUCUUGACGGUACCUAAUCAGAAAGCCACGGCUAACUACGUGCCAGCAGCCGCAGUAAUACGUAGGUGGCAAGCGUUAUCCGGAAUUAUUGGGCGUAAAGCGCGCGUAGGCGGUUUUUUAAGUCUGAUGUGAAAGCCCACGGCUCAACCGUGGAGGGUCAUUGGAAACUGGAAAACUUGAGUGCAGAAGAGGAAAGUGGAAUUCCAUGUGUAGCGGUGAAAUGCGCAGAGAUAUGGAGGAACACCAGUGGCGAAGGCGACUUUCUGGUCUGUAACUGACGCUGAUGUGCGAAAGCGUGGGGAUCAAACAGGAUUAGAUACCCUGGUAGUCCACGCCGUAAACGAUGAGUGCUAAGUGUUAGGGGGUUUCCGCCCCUUAGUGCUGCAGCUAACGCAUUAAGCACUCCGCCUGGGGAGUACGACCGCAAGGUUGAAACUCAAAGGAAUUGACGGGGACCCGCACAAGCGGUGGAGCAUGUGGUUUAAUUCGAAGCAACGCGAAGAACCUUACCAAAUCUUGACAUCCUUUGACAACUCUAGAGAUAGAGCCUUCCCCUUCGGGGGACAAAGUGACAGGUGGUGCAUGGUUGUCGUCAGCUCGUGUCGUGAGAUGUUGGGUUAAGUCCCGCAACGAGCGCAACCCUUAAGCUUAGUUGCCAUCAUUAAGUUGGGCACUCUAAGUUGACUGCCGGUGACAAACCGGAGGAAGGUGGGGAUGACGUCAAAUCAUCAUGCCCCUUAUGAUUUGGGCUACACACGUGCUACAAUGGACAAUACAAAGGGCAGCGAAACCGCGAGGUCAAGCAAAUCCCAUAAAGUUGUUCUCAGUUCGGAUUGUAGUCUGCAACUCGACUACAUGAAGCUGGAAUCGCUAGUAAUCGUAGAUCAGCAUGCUACGGUGAAUACGUUCCCGGGUCU
This 1372-nucleotide ribosomal RNA is filed under the name uncultured bacterium. RNAcentral describes it as "bacterial SSU rRNA". It matches the Rfam family "Bacterial small subunit ribosomal RNA", at positions 28 to 1381 of the family's 1533-position model. The record is from RNAcentral.